Molecule: ribosomal RNA, 448 nt
Filed under: uncultured bacterium
Lineage: Bacteria
Description: bacterial SSU rRNA
Rfam family: Bacterial small subunit ribosomal RNA
Source: RNAcentral
AUGAACGCUGGCGGCGUGGAUAAGGCAUGCAAGUCAAGGGGCCCGCAAGGGCACCGGCGAACGAGGUAGUAACACGUGGGUAUGAACCUUCAAGACGGACAUAGCUCGUCGAAAGAUGGGGUAAUUUCCGAUAGUCCCUUAGGGGUAAAGUCGCAAGACGCUUGAAGAUCAGCCUGCGCAGUAUCAGCUAGUUGGUAGGGUAAAGGCCUACCAAGGCUAUGACGCUUAGGGGACCUGAGAGGGUGACCCCCACCGAUGGUACUGAGACACGGACCAUACACCUACGGGUGGCUGCAGUCGAGAAUCUUCCACAAUGGGCGAAAGCCUGAUGGAGCGACGCCGCGUGACUGAUGAAGUCCUUAGGGACGUAAAGGUCUUUUAUAGGGGAGAAAGCCGGGAUUUAUUCCGGCGUGAUAGUACCCUAGGAAUAAGAGGUUGCUAAACUCGU